GGCCGCGGGAAUUCGAUUAGAGUUUGAUCCUGGCUCAGGACGAACGCUGGCGGCGUGCCUAAUACAUGCAAGUCGAACGGACAGACGGGAGCUUGCUCCCUGAUGUUAGCGGCGGACGGGUGAGUAACACGUGGGUAACCUGCCUGUAAGACUGGGAUAACUCCGGGAAACCGGGGCUAAUACCGGAUGCUUGUUUGAACCGCAUGGUCCAAACAUAAAAGGUGGCUUCGGCUACCACUUACAGAUGGACCCGCGGCGCAUUAGCUAGUUGGUGAGGUAAUGGCUCACCAAGGCAACGAUGCGUAGCCGACCUGAGAGGGUGAUCGGCCACACUGGGACUGAGACACGGCCCAGACUCCUACGGGAGGCAGCAGUAGGGAAUCUUCCGCAAUGGACGAAAGUCUGACGGAGCAACGCCGCGUGAGUGAUGAAGGUUUUCGGAUCGUAAAGCUCUGUUGUUAGGGAAGAACAAGUACCGUUCGAAUAGGGCGGUACCUUGACGGUACCUAACCAGAAAGCCACGGCUAACUACGUGCCAGCAGCCGCGGUAAUACGUAGGUGGCAAGCGUUGUCCGGAAUUAUUGGGCGUAAAGGCUCGCAGGCGGUUUCUUAAGUCUGAUGUGAAAGCCCCCGGCUCAACCGGGGAGGGUCAUUGGAAACUGGGGAACUUGAGUGCAGAAGAGGAGAGUGGAAUUCCACGUGUAGCGGUGAAAUGCGUAGAGAUGUGGAGGAACACCAGUGGCGAAGGCGACUCUCUGGUCUGUAACUGA
This 770-nucleotide ribosomal RNA is filed under the name Bacillus licheniformis. Its description in RNAcentral is "partial 16S ribosomal RNA". It matches the Rfam family "Bacterial small subunit ribosomal RNA", at positions 1 to 743 of the family's 1533-position model. Lineage: Bacteria; Bacillati; Bacillota; Bacilli; Caryophanales; Bacillaceae. The record is from RNAcentral.